RNAcentral lists this unclassified non-coding RNA (211 nucleotides) under plant metagenome. RNAcentral describes it as "partial contains small subunit ribosomal RNA, internal transcribed spacer 1, and 5.8S ribosomal RNA". The record is from RNAcentral.
UUUCCGUAGGUGAACCUGCGGAAGGAUCAUUCAUAAUAAAGUGUUUUAUGGCACUUUUUAAAAAUCCAUAUCCACCUUGUGUGCAAUGUUAGAUCUCGUCAAUCUUGGCGAGAUUUUUAUACAUCAACUCAUUUUUUAACUAAUUUGUCUGAAAAAUAUUAUGAAUACUUAAUUCAAAAUACAACUUUCAGCAACGGAUCUCUUGGCUCUC